Molecule: non-coding RNA, 85 nt
Organism: Candidatus Desantisbacteria bacterium CG1_02_38_46
Lineage: Bacteria; Candidatus Desantisiibacteriota
Source: Rfam
AAGAGCCGAAUCUGGGAAAUCUGGACGUUCGGUUCUGUGAGGGGCAUUAAAUACCAAAUGGAGGUAUAAAAGAUGUCUACUCGAC